AUGACAGGUUUCAGCUUGGAAUCAUGUUUACCCAUGGAGUCAUUUUGCUAGAAUUCCUAAAUGAAAUGACAGCACAAUUCUGUGGCAACCAAACAGCCCACCUAUGGAAUUCCAAAAUGAAUUCCAGGAUUCCAGGUCCAAAUGAUGGAUACCAAACGACCUCUGAUGGAUUUCCCAUCUCCUUCGUCUUCCCCAUCGGAGAACUGCAGCAGUAAUUAGUGAAGAGUCUCUCUUGAAAUACUGUUGCGGAUCCGUUCCCAUCCUCCCCACAACCCAUGCUCGCUCCAUGUUCAAGAGCUGCUCCUUUUUUGUCCUCCGCUGGUCGAGAUUUCACUGCCCGCGCUUAUUCAGAUCCAGUAGAUUUGGCCUCGGGACACCACCAUUCUUGAUUGGAUGAAUUUGAAGUCCCGCCAUUGCUCAUCGCCUGCUGGUACAGACUUGCUGGGCAGGAAGCAUCUGCAGCGUUGCUGUCCCCUGCGACCAGUUUCAGUCCACUACUAGCUGCACACUCAGUACGUGUCAGGCUAAUCGAGCUUAUCAUGGAGCACCGCCCAACCUAUUUUGCCGAUAUCUACAAGAUAGUGCAGAAGAUGAUAAAUCCUUUCAAAAAGCAGAAACAAGACAUGGUGGGCAUGCUCACUCACUACCUGCACAUGUGCGAAUCCUCGGUUGGGUCAUUGUUUUCUAUCGUUAUUGACUCAUCAUGGCCCAUACAUAAAGGGUUUUUUAAUGCAGGGUUGACUGAUUGGAAGUGUACUGCCAUGUAUUUGUAUUCUCUCAACCGAUAUCGACGUCCUGUACUAACCCCAAGCCCUCUCAGAAUUUUUCAUCUGUGGAAUUGCUUCAAAAUUCUUAAUUUGUGAAUUGCUUGAUGGAUCUUUUAUAUGCAUGGCAGUGUGAUUCCUCUUUCUCCUUUGAUUUUUGUCCUACUUUUGGUGUUGUUUCCAGGUUAUUGUUGCACGCAACAUCUUUUAAGUGAUAUCACAGAGAUUUUUGAUCUUUAUUGGUGAUUAGAAAGGAAUCAACAACCUAGAUCUUUAUAAGAUCUGCCCUUUUGCAUAAGAUAUAGAUGCAUUUUACCUUGCCUUCAAACUUAGUAACAACAAUUGUUUGGGGUCUAUACAGAUCUUCAAUAUGUUCCUUUGCCUAAUAUGUAUUAUCUUUUUUCCUUUCAUCUUACUGUGGAUGGGACAAAUAUUGUUUUGGACUAAAGUUUUUUAAAUGCCAUGGUUGUUCAGUCAGACUAGGUAUGCUCUAUUCACUUGCUCUCUGUAUGUUUUUUUAUUUUCUCUUGCAAUUAUGAAAGAAUAAGACCAGAUUAGAAAAGAAAUAUAUUCUAUGUGCAUUUGCAUCUAAGUGAAGACGGUUAAUGUGUUGAGCUUCAACUUUAUUCUAGCACGGUCUCUGUCAAUAGUCUGAAAGAGUAUUUCUGUACAAGAGGAUUCAUUAAUGUAAUAUAAAGGUUGUUUACUGCAUUUUCGAACUACCAACCAUCAAAGUGAAUCUAAAAUAAACCGUUGCAGUUGUGAUGCUCCCUGCUCUGUAGGCCUCUAGGAGUGCUCACGACCAUUUAAGAUCACCGAAGCUACUGCAAAUGUCUCAUAAGCUCAGGAGCAAAUGAAACAGAACGCAGACACAGGCCACCAUUCUGCAGCAGCACAAGCACAUGUCUUCAAAUCUAGCACUACCUACAUGUCUAGCACAGCUCCAACUCGACCUGGUCCUGGAGCGAAAGAUCAAUUUUCAGUUUAAGUUUUGCACUUAUCUCUUUCGGAGAGUUAAGUUGUGUCUGUAUAUACACAAACUUGCUGACUUGAUGUCAAUGCGUCUUGGUGCAUGUGUGGUAGACUGGUAGCUCCAAUCUAUACUCAUAGCUUACAAGUGUUAUCUCACAAAAUUUAUUAUUAUUGGCUGCAAAGACAUGUUUGGGUCUAUAUCUGAGGAAAGGAGUGCUGUAUGUAAAUGAUACACAAUGGUUUAUAUAUAUUACCAAUUCUCAA
This is a long non-coding RNA of Lolium perenne, 2000 nucleotides long. RefSeq lists it as uncharacterized. NCBI's taxonomy places the organism in Eukaryota, Viridiplantae, Streptophyta, Magnoliopsida, Poales, Poaceae. The record is from RefSeq and is a predicted model, not a curated record.